UGUAGCGAUCUGCAGGCACUAAGAACGGAUGAAGGCUCCAUGAGAAUACAGACUAAAGGAAUUACGUUUAUAAGACAUGGCCUAGCCAAACAGGAUAGGGAGAAACAUUUUGGAGCAAAAAUUUUCGUACCUACAUACACUGAGAAUACCUCUUUAGAUCCACGGAAAAGUCUGUUACAAUAUUUAGAUAAAACAAAACCGUUGCGUAAAAAAUUACAACAGGACCAAAGAGGCAAAUUAUUUUUAGCUUUAUGUGAACCUCACAAACCAGUUACCUCUCAGACAAUUUCACAUUGGAUUGUUCAAAUUAUUAAACAGGCUUAUUCUGAUUUUGAAUAUCCAGGGAAAGGGAAAAUACAUGCGCAUUCUACAAGAGCUAUUGGCCCA
Molecule: long non-coding RNA, 387 nt
Filed under: Mytilus galloprovincialis (Mediterranean mussel)
Lineage: Eukaryota; Metazoa; Mollusca; Bivalvia; Mytilida; Mytilidae
Source: RNAcentral